AUAAAAUCCCUUAAAAAAAUACAUGUUACGUAGUGUGACCUGUGACCAGAAGAUGAGUGUUUAGGAUAAGUUAUGUUCGUAAAGAAAUUAUAUAUCUUGGUGGACGUAAUAUGUGCAGAGGACUGAACGCAAUACUGCUUCGCUGCAGUAAAAUGCUGGACGGUGGUGCCUAUCCGUGCAGGCUCACAAUUCGCCCUACAAUCAGUAAUUUAGCAAAAUAAAUACUGCGGUUAAAUUGCGAUAUUAUUCCUUCAUCGUGGAAGCUAUUCUUUAAAAAAACCCGUGUCAGGUACGUAUUCCCUUAAAUAUACUGUGACUUGCCUAAUGCUUUAAAUCCCAUGAAUGCUUGACUGUAACAGG
Molecule: long non-coding RNA, 360 nt
Organism: Bombyx mori (domestic silkworm)
Lineage: Eukaryota; Metazoa; Arthropoda; Insecta; Lepidoptera; Bombycidae
Exons: 2
Source: RefSeq, a predicted model, not a curated record